ACGAGCGGCGAACGGGUGAGUAACACGUGGGUGAUCUGCCUUGCACUUCGGGAUAAGCCUGGGAAACUGGGUCUAAUACCGGAUAUGACCACUAAAUGCAUGUCUUGUGGUGGAAAGAUUUAUCGGUGCGAGAUGGGCCCGCGGCCUAUCAGCUUGUUGGUGAGGUAACGGCUCACCAAGGCGACGACGGGUAGCCGACCUGAGAGGGUGACCGGCCACACUGGGACUGAGACACGGCCCAGACUCCUACGGGAGGCAGCAGUGGGGAAUAUUGCACAAUGGGCGAAAGCCUGAUGCAGCGACGCCGCGUGCGGGAUGACGGCCUUCGGGUUGUAAACCGCUUUUGACAGGGACGAAGCGCAAGUGACUGUACCUGUAGAAUAAGGACCGGCCAACUACGUGCCAGCAGCCGCGGUAAUACGUAGGGUCCGAGCGUUGUCCGGAAUUACUGGGCGUAAAGAGCUUGUAGGCGGUUCGUCGCGUCGUUUGUGAAAACUUGGGGCUCAACCUUAAGCUUGCAGGCGAUACGGGCGAACUAGAGUACUUCAGGGGAGACUGGAAUUCCUGGUGUAGCGGUGAAAUGCGCAGAUAUCAGGAGGAACACCGGUGGCGAAGGCGGGUCUCUGGGAAGUAACUGACGCUGAGAAGCGAAAGCAUGGGUAGCAAACAGGAUUAGAUACCCUGGUAGUCCAUGCCGUAAACGGUGGGUACUAGGUGUGGGGCUCCUUCCACGGACUCCGUGCCGUAGCU
RNAcentral lists this ribosomal RNA (750 nucleotides) under Nocardia sp. Its description in RNAcentral is "bacterial SSU rRNA". It matches the Rfam family "Bacterial small subunit ribosomal RNA", at positions 91 to 853 of the family's 1533-position model. The record is from RNAcentral. Lineage: Bacteria; Bacillati; Actinomycetota; Actinomycetes; Mycobacteriales; Nocardiaceae.